Molecule: ribosomal RNA, 253 nt
Filed under: uncultured bacterium
Lineage: Bacteria
Description: partial 16S ribosomal RNA
Rfam family: Bacterial small subunit ribosomal RNA
Source: RNAcentral
UACAGAGGGUGCAAGCGUUAAUCGGAAUUACUGGGCGUAAAGGGUGCGUAGGUGGUUAGAUAAGUUGGGCGUGAAAUCCCCGGGCUUAACCUGGGAACUGCGUUCAAGACUGACUGGCUAGAGUAUGGUAGAGGUAAGUGGAAUUUCAGGUGUAGCGGUGAAAUGCGUAGAUAUCUGAAGGAACACCAGUGGCGAAGGCGACUUACUGGACUGAUACUGACACUGAGGCACGAAAGCGUGGGGAGCAAACAGG